AGCAGCCGCGGUAAAUUCCAGCUCCAAUAGCGUAUAUUAAAGUUGUUGCAGUUAAAAAGCUCGUAGUUGAAUUUCGGGGUUCUAUCGUUGGUCGGGCUAUUGUCUGUACUGGCGUGUAGAAUUUCUACCUUCUGGGGAACUAUCAUGUUAUUAAUUUAGCGUGGUAGGAAACCAGGACCUUUACCUUGAAAAAAUUAGAGUGUUCAAAGCAGGCUUAUGUCUGAAUACAUUAGCAUGGAAUAAUAAAAUAGGACGGUGGUCCUGUUUUGUUGGUUUCUGAAUCACCGUAAUGAUUAAUAGGGAUAGUUGGGGGCAUUAGUAUUCAAUUGUCAGAGGUGAAAUUCUUGGAUUUAUUGAAGACUAACUACUGCGAAAGCAUUUGCCAAGGAUGUUUUCAUUA
Molecule: ribosomal RNA, 400 nt
Filed under: uncultured Glomeromycotina
Lineage: Eukaryota; Fungi; Glomeromycota
Description: SSU rRNA
Rfam family: Eukaryotic small subunit ribosomal RNA
Source: RNAcentral